UACACAUGCAAGUCGAACGGCAGCACGGACUUCGGUCUGGUGGCGAGUGGCGAACGGGUGAGUAACAUAUCGGAACGUAUCCAAUAAUGGGGGAUAACUAAUCGAAAGGUUGGCUAAUACCGCAUACGCCCUACGGGGGAAAGCUAGGGACCUUCGGGCCUGGCGUUAAUGGAGCGGCCGAUAUCUGAUUAGCUAGUUGGUGGGGUAAAGGCCCACCAAGGCGACGAUCAGUAGCUGGUCUGAGAGGACGACCAGCCACACUGGAACUGAGACACGGUCCAGACUCCUACGGGAGGCAGCAGUGGGGAAUUUUGGACAAUGGGCGCAAGCCUGAUCCAGCCAUUCCGCGUGAGUGAAGAAGGCCUUCGGGCGUGUAAAGCUCUUUCGCAAGGGAAGAACACUUAGCCACUAACAUUGGCUGAGGUUGACGGUACCUUGAUAAGAAGCACCGGCUAACUACGUGCCAGCAGCCGCGGUAAUACGUAGGGUGCGAGCGUUAAUCGGAAUUACUGGGCGUAAAGCGUGCGCAGGCGGUUUUGUAAGUCAGAUGUGAAAUCCCC
Molecule: ribosomal RNA, 560 nt
Filed under: uncultured Methylophilaceae bacterium
Lineage: Bacteria; Pseudomonadati; Pseudomonadota; Betaproteobacteria; Nitrosomonadales; Methylophilaceae
Description: bacterial SSU rRNA
Rfam family: Bacterial small subunit ribosomal RNA
Source: RNAcentral